UACAGAGGUCUCAAGCGUUGUUCGGAUUCAUUGGGCGUAAAGGGUGCGUAGGUGGCGCGGUAAGUCGGGUGUGAAAUCUCGGAGCUUAACUCCGAAAUUGCAUUCGAUACUGCCGUGCUCGAGGACUGAAGAGGAGACUGGAAUUUACGGUGUAGCAGUGAAAUGCGUAGAUAUCGUAAGGAAGACCAGUGGCGAAGGCGGGUCUCUGGGCAGUUCCUGACACUGAGGCACGAAGGCCAGGGGAGCAAACGGG
This 253-nucleotide ribosomal RNA is filed under the name uncultured bacterium. RNAcentral's name for it is "partial 16S ribosomal RNA". It matches the Rfam family "Bacterial small subunit ribosomal RNA", at positions 524 to 776 of the family's 1533-position model. The record is from RNAcentral.